Molecule: long non-coding RNA, 348 nt
Organism: Tyto alba (common barn owl)
Lineage: Eukaryota; Metazoa; Chordata; Aves; Strigiformes; Tytonidae
Exons: 3
Source: RefSeq, a predicted model, not a curated record
CUGACUGAACCAACCUCAGAUCCAGGAAAAGUUGUAGAGGAGACUACUGAUAGCUGGUAUUCUGAAUUCUCCUUUUGGAAGUUGUCCUGUGGGUGCUGCAUCUGGGUGGUAGAGCCAUUGUGGGAUUUUUAUUUCAUUUGACACUACAGCACUGAAGAUGCUGUGGAACAGGGAGGAGCAAGUAGGCAAGUGACUGAGGAAGCUUCCAGGAAACUGUAUGAAACACAAAGGGCAUGCCUUGGAUGUUGAGUCACCUGCCACUGAAAAGUAGGAACUCCUCUAGUGAAAUGCUGUCUGAUGCACAGAUGAAUGCAAGGGAGAAACGGAGGCUGGCCAAAAAAAAAAAAA